UCUAGCAUGCAUUUGCUGACAGCCACUUGAGGGAGACUCACAUCAGGAGAUGCAGCAUAUCGGAGGUCUUCCCUGACUUUCCAACAAAUGCACACCACCUGCCGCCGGUCUGGACACAAAACGACGGCCACAAUCGAUGGCCCAAAACGCCCAACUACAGGAUUAAAUUGUUGGUCAUAUUCACUGAGUGAUGCCAGAUAGAUGAGAGCAUUCACAUUCUCAAAGCAGUGGAUCCACUUUUUUCGCUCCGAUUUCUGUCCCCCAACAUCCACCAUCCUAGACAUUUAUGGGGGAAAUGUGUGUAUUAUAAGGACUAUUGCAAUGCACAGGAGCGGUUCUUGGCGCAGGCAAGCAGUGCCUGCACCCGAGGUGCUGCGGCCUGCGGGUGCAGUCACCCCACAGGCGCCUGCCGCCUACCCGCACCCCACCCCCCGGCUGAUAUAUGGUAUUCGGAGGGUCUCCAUAGCUCCCACCAGAGACUGGGCACAGGUGACAAUGUUCUGAUGUACAAGUUGUGCAUACA
Molecule: long non-coding RNA, 523 nt
Organism: Pseudophryne corroboree (corroboree frog)
Lineage: Eukaryota; Metazoa; Chordata; Amphibia; Anura; Myobatrachidae
Exons: 4
Source: RefSeq, a predicted model, not a curated record